AAGCAUUUCAGAAAGCUUUGGGA
Molecule: small nuclear RNA, 23 nt
Filed under: Arabidopsis thaliana (thale cress)
Lineage: Eukaryota; Viridiplantae; Streptophyta; Magnoliopsida; Brassicales; Brassicaceae
Description: snRNA_00432
Source: RNAcentral